RNAcentral lists this ribosomal RNA (250 nucleotides) under uncultured bacterium. RNAcentral describes it as "partial 16S ribosomal RNA". It matches the Rfam family "Bacterial small subunit ribosomal RNA", at positions 524 to 773 of the family's 1533-position model. The record is from RNAcentral.
AACGUAGGUGGCGAGCGUUAUCCGGAUUCACUGGGCGUAAAGCGCCUGCAGGCGGUCUUGUAAGUGGGGUGUGAAAUCUCCGGGCUCAACCGGGAGGGGUCGCUCCAUACUGCGGGACUGGAGGGCAGAAGAGGGAAGUGGAAUUCCCGGUGUAGUGGUGAAAUGCGUAGAGAUCGGGAGGAACACCAGUGGCGAAGGCGGCUUCCUGGUCUGCCCCUGACGCUAAGAGGCGAAAGCUAGGGGAGCGAAC